AGAACCUCCCCCGAUCCUGCGUGUCCCGUGCUCCUCUCCGAGACCCCGGUCGCCCCAGCGUCCGCAGCAGUCCUGGAAAAAUGUUUAUUUGUGUAGCAAAGCAGGGAGCGGGGCGGCGGGGCUACUUCUUCUUUUUCUUGGCCGCCUUGAGCUUCCCCUCGAUUAGCCGCUGCGCCUGCCUCUUGAUCUCGGCGCGCGAAGGGACGUAGCUGUGGUCCAUGUCGGGGAACUGGAAGGUGUCUGCGGGCGGAGGCGGCGGCUCGCACACGGGGCUAGCCCAGCUAGGCGCAGCCGCCCGACCCGCCUCUCGCCCCCGCCCUCCACCGACCCGGGCCAGGUGCCUUGCCCCAGGGACAGCCCCAGCGUGCCGGGAGGACUCAGCCCAGCCCAUUCGCAGCGGCUCACGCUGCCCUGCCUAGCCUUUCCCGCAGAACCCCCAGUGGAAGCUCCGGCCCAGGCCUUCACCGCGCUCCUCCCUGCUCCAGCCCUGGUGCCUCUCCUCCGGGCCCGUCUGGCAUGGCAUGCCUCCUCCUUUCGGAGAAAUUAACAAGGGCAAAGCCCCCUUCAGCCGUGCAGACACUCUGAACGGGAGCCUGUCAGCUUUGAGGGGACGUGGGCUGUGCAGGUUCCUCCCAGCCCGGGGCUACCUCCUCGGUCCUGGACACCAUCUGCACUCUGUCAGCCAGCAUGUCUGUCAUUUUCUUCUCAACGGACUUGAAGCUGCAGAAGGCAAUAGGGACACAGCAGUGAGGGGCACAGGCCCGAGAGCCAUGGUGGGCCACCCAGGAGCCCAGUCCUGAGUUGGGUGCUGUGCCAGAAUCAGGGACUCAGAAGCUCAGGUGUGUGCAAGUGGAGUCCCCUGGCCCCUCUGUGGGACACACAGGCUUGUUGGCAGUGGGUAUACUCCCAGCUCCCAGCCUGGCUGCAGCCCGGGGCCUUUGUGAGACUGGGGUGGGUGGCCCGCAGCCCCGGAAGCCCGGGGCACCUGAUGGAGCUAGGCUUCUGGCGGAACUUGAGCACGGCCUCCUCCAGCUCCAGCUGCUUCACCAGGGCCUUCAGCUGCACCCGCCACUCCUCACAGUCCUCCAUCUGCAGCUCCAGGUUCUCCUCCGUGUUCCUCUGGGCCAGGAAGCGGCUAGUGAUGUCCUGGCCAGUCCGGGGGAGAGAGAAGCAGAGUGCCUCAGACCCCAGCCCAGCUCAGCCACCCUCCUGCCAUGCUCCGGGAGUGCCAGGGAGCAUUACCCAGACGUGAGAGGCUCAGCCACCCUCCUGCCAUUCUCUGGGAGCGCCAGGGGCAUUACCCAGACGUGAGAGCACCGUACAGCACUCUUGACCUUCUCCACCACAGCAGUCACGCCCGACUGGUAUUCCAUUUCUGCUGUGGAGGUCUCUUUUCUCCUCACUGGCAGAGCAGAGGGGAGGGGCAGUCAGCAUGCAGGGAUGGCUCAGGGGCUCUGUGUAAGGCUGUCAGACACCUCUGUACCUGCCCAGCUGCUGGGGCGGCCACCCAAGACACAGGCAUCCUUCAGAGAUGCCUGCCCCCGCCCCAACCUGCUCCCUCCUCAGCCCAGCCCUGCAGGGACGCCCCAGGCAGCCCCAGAGCAGAGGUGGACCCGGAGUGAGUGGCGCAGCACUGUGAGCACUGUGGGCCCGGUGGUGCUUCUCAGAGGCAGCUUAGGGGUCAGGAUGCUCAUCCUCUGCAGAGUCACUGGGGACUGGGCCCUUGGUGCAGGGCCCUUGGGUGCUGGGGCCAGCAUCUCUGAGGCCACAUUUGGCUACAGGCUCUCAGCCUCUGGAGGGAGAGGCAGGGACCUGUCCUUCCCUUCACCCUGGCGACCACAUGUCACACCUGGCCUCAGGGUGACUUGAUCCGUUGGCCUGAAUCAGUGCCAGCCUCUCCUUGGGACCCUGGCUGGGGGCAGGUGGGGAGCUGAGCGCUUACAUUUCAGGGUCUCCGUGCUCAUCAGGUUCGAGGGGAAGUCCAAGUCCAUCUGGCCCUGAUGGGAGGUGGGGGCGGGGAAGGGAUGAGACAUCCUUGGCAGGGAGUGGGCCCUGAGUGGUGGCCCUGAGCCUGUGUCCACCCAGCUGUCAUGGGGAUGGGCAGCCAGCCAGGCCCUGGCCUGGGGCUUACCCGGCGGUACUUCUCGCUGGUCUCCUUCGUGUGGAUCUUGUCGAUCAGCUUCUUCUGCUGGUUGAGCCGGUUCUCCCUUGCCCGGCGCUCCUCGAUGAAGGACGCCUCCCUUUGCCUCAUGUUCCUCUGGGGACAUGCGGGUGGGCACAGGGUUGGGGAGCUGUCUCAACAAGGCCCCUAAUGGCAGUAAAGCCAGCGGGCGGUUGGCCAUGCUCACCUUACUAGACUUUGGAACUGCAUCCCCGGCCAAUGGCCACACCCUUUUCCUAAACCACUUGUGCCCGUGGCCCCUCAGCUCACGGCCCUCCUUGCCCAUGCCUCAGAGCAUGUGCCAGCCCAGACGCUCUGCUGCCCUCCAGCCGCUGGCCCCCAGCUGCCUCCUGGCCAGGUCCACCUAGAACUCACGGAAGUGCAUUCAGCCUGCCUGAAGACAGAUUCAUCCUCUUCCCCAAAACCUGGCCUCUUCCAGCGUGCCCUUGGGCAGCUAAAACCGUCAUCUGCUAACCCCUGCUCACGCACCCCAGACACUGCUCUCACCCUCGCCACUCUCGUUGCCAGCGCUUAGUGGGGUUGCCUCUUGAGGAGUUCUCAGCUCCGUUGCUCCUGGCCACCCCUUCUCCACCCCGGGUAUACCCAGGUGAUCAGCGCUUCUGCCCUGGCACCUUCCAGUCCCUGCAGCCUGAGUACACCCUUUCUGAAGCACAGACCUGGUCACAUCUUUCCUCCACCUCCUCCCAGGGCUCCAGGUCAGUCCUUGGGCCCCCAGCCCAGCCGCCUCCGUGGACUCCUGGGGCCUGUGCCUCUGCAGCCUCCACUGCCCUGGCCACACGCUGCUCCAUGUAUCACACCCCUCCCAGCCCAGGGCCUUUUCCCAAGUUGUACCUCCUCCUCCCUAGCCCUGGCCACACCUGACCUUUGCGGGUUCAAUCCCUCAGCCCAGCUCAAGCACUGUCUUCCUGGAAAGCCAUCUGCCACCCCACCUGUCUCUGCUGAGCUGGCUCAGGGGCUGUGUGGCAUUUCUUCAUGGACUACUGGAUGAGUGCCACCCACUUCAGGAGGACAGGGUCUGCCUGUCCCGGUCCCUGCUGUAUCCCCAGAGCCUUGCAGGGACCUUGGCACAGACUGGGUGAAUAGGUGACCCCCGCCCUGGCCCGGCCAGUUCUCUCCCUCUCCUCUACUUCAUGGCUCCUGUGCUGGAUGGGACCUGCUCUGUCCAGUGGGUGAGCAGAGCAGGCUGGCCGGGCUGGCCACUGGAUCCUUCUGGGGAUUGUAGGCAGUGUGGGCAUGGGGGUCUCCUGAGAGACCCUGGCCAGAAGACACAAGAGAGCCCGCCCUGGGGGGCCCCAGCCCUGGGCCCUGAGCUCACCUUGACCCCAUCCGAAGAUCCAAGAGGGCUGGCCCUGGGGGGCCCCCAGCCCUGGGCCCUGAGCUCACCUUGACCCCAUCCGAAGAUCCAAGAGGGCUGGCCCUGGGGGGCCCCAGCCCUGGGCCCUGAGCUCACCUUGACCCCAUCCGAAGAUCCAAGAGGGCUGGCCCUGGGGGGCCCCCGGCCCUGGGCCCUGAGCUCACCUUGACCCCAUCCGAAGAUCCAAGAGGGCUGGCCCUGGGGGGCCCCCAGCCCUGGGCCCUGAGCUCACCUUGACCCCAUCCGAAGAUCCAAGAGGGCUGGCCCUGGGGGGCCCCCGGCCCUGGGCCCUGAGCUCACCUUGACCCCAUCCGAAGAUCCAAGAGGGCUGGCCCUGGGGGGCCCCCAGCCCUGGGCCCUGAGCUCACCUUGACCCCAUCCGAAGAUCCAAGAGGGCUGGCCCUGGGGGGCCCCCAGCCCUGGGCCCUGAGCUCACCUUGACCUCAUCCGUGAUCAUCAUGGCAUCUUGGGACAUGAUCUUCAUAUCCGACAGCUCUGAGCAGUAGUUGACCACGAGGUUCUGCAGCUUGUCCAGCUCAAUGGGGUAUCCUGCCAGCACCUGUGUUGAAUGGGGUUCUCUUGUGGCCCCUACAGAGUGGGCUGCAGUUGCCCCGAGCUUUUAUCCCCCGACUAAGAGCCCUGAGAACAGUGAUAGGUUCUCCUCUGUGGCCCCAGCCACCUCCCCCACUCCCCGCUGGGCACAACGGUGAUGAAAGGUGUUUCACAGGGAGUGGACAGUGCUGGCCUGGUGGACUCUUUCACCACCUAGGGUCCAACAACCCAGAGAGACUGAGAGAGUUUGUGAUGAAAUGCUCUGCAGAAAAGGCUGACUGAAACCCGGGGAGGUUUGGGGACAGUUCUGCUUUGAAGUGAAACAGAGGGGCUCAAGACAUGGGCUUGGGGUCAGAGAGUCAGGAUUCAAGGCCAAGGCAGCUUCUGACCAGCUAGUUUAGCUGUGUGACAUUGGGAAAGUUACUUAAUCUCUCUGUGUCCCCAUUUGUAAGAUGAUGGCUCGUUCAGAAGGUUGCCAUCAGGAUGAAUUGAGUGUAAAAGGAAUUAUUUAGCCCAGAACCAGGUACAUACGUGCUCAGGAUAGCUUUGCUAUAGUGGUUUGUUUUUUGUAACUACAAGUAUAGGCCAGGUGCGGUGGCUCACGCCUGUAAUCCCAACACUGGGAGGCCGGAGGCAGGCAGAUCAUGAGGUCAGGAGUUAGAGACCAGCCUGGCCAACAUAGUGAAACCCUGUCUCUACUAAAAAUACAAAAAAAAUCAGCCGGGCGUGGUAGUGGGCGCCUGUAAUUCUAGCUAUUCGGGAGGCUGAGGCAGGAGAAUCGCUUGAACCCGGGAGGCGGAGGUUGCAGUGAGCCGAGAUCUCACCACUGCACACCAGCUGGGGCAACAGUGUGAAACUCCAUCUCAAAAAACAAAACAAACAAAAACAAAACUAGAAGUGUAGAAUCUUCAUUUUUAAAAAUAUGGAUGACUAUGGGAAUUAUUGCUUGUUUUUUCCUUUGUUCUGAGACUGAAUCUCACUCUAUCACCCAGGCUGGAGUGCGAUGGUACGAUCUCGGCUUGCAGCAACCUCUGCCUUCUGGGUUCAGGUGAUUCUCGUGCCUCAGCCUCCCGAGUAGCUGGGAUUACAGGCAUGCACCACCAUGCCAGGCUACUUUUUGUAUUUUUAGUAGAGAUGAAGUUUCACCAUGUUGGCCAGGCUGGUCUAGAACUCCUGACCUCAAGUGAUCCGCCUGCCUUGGCCUCCCAAAGUGCUGGGAUUACAGGCAUGAGCCACCAUGCCCAGGCCGGGAAUAAUUGUUUUUUAAGUGUGUAUGUUCUAAACAGAAGAAGGCGCUACCAGAGGAACAGAAAGCACCCAGGCGAAGGAGGGGCAUGGACAGGGGUGGGGAGAGGGGUGGGCCCAGGAAGCAUAGAGGGGCAGGGCUUCCAGGUGAGCCAAUAGGACCAGGGGCCAAGGCAAGAGGGACAAGCAGAGGACGGUGCUGAGAGCCACCUGGGCUGGGACCACAGCAGGAAAAGAGCUGCGAUGCAGCCUCCGUCCACCACUCCUCCUAAACUGCACUUCCAUGCUGUCACCUUCCCGAAGCAUGGCUCUCCAGAGCUCCCCUUUGCCCAGUCUUAGGGUGAGGGUGUUUCCAGCUGGCUCCCCGCCCCAUCCACAGGUUGCUCCUCUUAGCACCUCCUGUGCUCUCCCUAUCUACAGCCCAUCUGGAGUAGGUUCUGCUUUGUGGCAGCCCGAGGGGCGGUGCUCAGCCUCCCAUGAAGGGGGUCUUCCCUCACAAUCGGACUGCUGGCUGCCUUUGGCCUCGUCUGCAGGGAGCAGGGCGGGUGGGCUGGCUGGGACGGCAGCAAGCCCUGCUUACAGGCCCAGCGGACCCUCAAAGGUGCAAGGACUUUCUGAGGGUGCAGGACCUGUCUGACUCUCAGAGGCCCAGGCAAUGAGAAAAUGACAGGCAAGAUACAAACAAUACCAAAUCAUUUAAUACGUGCAAGAAAGUCCGAAGAAUUCUGAUAUACCCCACGAUAUGCUUUUUUGGAAUAGCCAAAAAUGAAGUUUAAAAAAACGUUUUCCACAUGCCUCGGCGUCCUGCGUAGCCGGUGGUCAGGCAGAGCUCCCUCUCCCUGGCGGGUGCGGGGCGGCUCCGCCCCAGGACGCUCCCGCCCCUCCCAGAUCCCAGCCCCUGACCCCCGCCCUUCCCGGGCCGCUGGGCUCACUGUCUUCAGAUAAUCCAGCAGGUCCAAAUACAGCAGGUGGAUGUUCUGGCUGGUGAUGAUCUUGAUCAUUGUCUUCUCGAUGUUGUUCUCCAGCUGGCGGAUGAUCUGGGGCGGACCGAGGGCGCAGUGAGAGGGCGUGGGGACCGGCCGCCCGGAGGGUGUCGGGGCUGGGUUUUCUCCGGAGAGGGUCGUGCUCUCUUAGCCCCGCCCCUCCCGUGAGCCCUCCCCAGGGGACCCGCAAGUCCCGCCCCCCGGUGGCCCCGCCCCUCCCGUGAGUCUUGCCCCAGUGGACUCCGCCCCGCCCUCCCAGCCCCGCCUCUCCACCUGCAGCAGCCGCAGCUCCUCCUUGCUGGCGUCGGGCUGGCUCCGCAGGCUGUCCAGCUCCAGCUGCAUGCUCUCCAGCUUCUGCCCGCGCCGCCGCACCAGGUGGAUCAGUAGGUUGUGCAUGUUCACGCGGUCGAAGACGUACUUGCGCAGCUUCUCCCGCACCACCUGGGUCGGGAAGGGCACCGCCCACUCGUGGUUGCGUAGGGGGCCGCCAUGGAGCCCGCCAGCAGGCGGGCGGGUGGAGGCUCGUGGCAACCCCACAGGGAACCUGGGGCUGGGCACCUGCUCCGUCCCUCGUCGGCUCCGCAACAUCUAGUGGGGGGGUGCUGGCAGGGGUGGGGAGGGUUGGGUCUCGAGGCCCCUCCUGCCUGGUUACCUCCAUGGUGCUGCGGCAGUGCGCCAGUCGCAAAGGCAAGUUUUUCCCGCAGGCCUUGGAGAUGGUCCACUGGUCAUACUGCGGAGCGGCGGCGGCUGAGCUAGAGCGGGCCCUUUGCGCACCCGCAGCCGCUGGCUCCUCCAGGCAUUCUCCCCAGGGCCUCUUGUAUCCCACGCUAGCCCAGUAGCGAGAUCCCUGCUUCCACGAGGAGCAGAGAGCCGCGGGACCCCAUCCUGGCCAUCCAAGUUCGGAGGCGACGUGGUAGGGGGGUAUGCAGAGGAGGGCCUGGGUGUCCCCUAGCUGGCCGGAGAGCCAGAGGGGGCCCCUGCUGCAGGAUGUGGGCUCACAGAUGCCAAGCCCUCGGGUUGGGUGGUGGGAAACCUGCCCACCGGAUGCUGGGGUGACUGGAGCCCAGGGCACAGGUCCUAGCAGAGCCCCUCCUCACAUGCCCCCUGGAUCCAGAAAGAUUGGGGUGGGGGUGGAGAGGAGGUGCCCGCCCUCCGAGUGUGUGUGUACUCAGCUCCUGCCCUGCUCGCCAGGCAGAGGGGAGGGGCGGCGUUUGUGUACCUUCUUGGCCAAAGCCCAGUCCUGGGCCCCGCGGCGGAUGUUGCUGCGCAGGAGGGCCAGCGUGGCCUUGUUCUGGUCCAUAUUCUCUUUCACCCCUUGGAUCUGGAGUGCCCGACACUGCUCUGUGGGCAGGUGGAGGGGACACAGUGGCUAGGAUUGGGCCAAGGGCCUGGCCUGGAAUCCCCUGGGGGAGGCUUGCAUCAGGGAGGCCCCAGGCCCCAGGGUCCAGGGGGAUGCCCCCUCCAUGGCCAAGAUCCCUCCUCCCGCCCUGUCCUGGGGGACACCGCUCCACUGCCCAGCAGCA
Molecule: long non-coding RNA, 7839 nt
Filed under: Homo sapiens (human)
Lineage: Eukaryota; Metazoa; Chordata; Mammalia; Primates; Hominidae
Description: non-protein coding CCDC183-AS1:10
Source: RNAcentral